AACGAACGCUGGCGGCAUGCCUAACACAUGCAAGUCGAACGAGAUCCUUCGGGGUCUAGUGGCGCACGGGUGCGUAACGCGUGGGAAUCUGCCCUUAGGUUCGGAAUAACAGUUAGAAAUGACUGCUAAUACCGGAUGAUGACGUUAAGUCCAAAGAUUUAUCGCCUGAGGAUGAGCCCGCGUAGGAUUAGCUAGUUGGUGUGGUAAAGGCGCACCAAGGCGACGAUCCUUAGCUGGUCUGAGAGGAUGAUCAGCCACACUGGGACUGAGACACGGCCCAGACUCCUACGGGAGGAAGCAGUGGGGAAUAUUGGACAAUGGGCGCAAGCCUGAUCCAGCAAUGCCGCGUGAGUGAUGAAGGCCUUAGGGUUGUAAAGCUCUUUUACCCGAGAUGAUAAUGACAGUAGCGGGAGAAUAAGCCCCGGCUAACUCCGUG
Molecule: ribosomal RNA, 436 nt
Filed under: uncultured bacterium
Lineage: Bacteria
Description: partial 16S ribosomal RNA
Rfam family: Bacterial small subunit ribosomal RNA
Source: RNAcentral